GCCGAGGUAGCUCAACGGCAGAGCAAUCGCUUCGUAAGCGAUAGGUUGGAGGUUCAAAUCCUCUCCUCGGCU
Molecule: transfer RNA, 72 nt
Filed under: Candidatus Giovannonibacteria bacterium RIFCSPHIGHO2_01_FULL_45_24
Lineage: Bacteria; Candidatus Giovannoniibacteriota
Also listed under: 1 other name
Description: tRNA-Thr
Rfam family: tRNA
About the family: Transfer RNA (tRNA) molecules are approximately 80 nucleotides in length. Their secondary structure includes four short double-helical elements and three loops (D, anti-codon, and T loops). Further hydrogen bonds mediate the characteristic L-shaped molecular structure. tRNAs have two regions of fundamental functional importance: the anti-codon, which is responsible for specific mRNA codon recognition, and the 3' end, to which the tRNAs corresponding amino acid is attached (by aminoacyl-tRNA synthetases). tRNAs cope with the degeneracy of the genetic code in two manners: having more than one tRNA (with a specific anti-codon) for a particular amino acid; and 'wobble' base-pairing, i.e. permitting non-standard base-pairing at the 3rd anti-codon position.
Source: RNAcentral